AUUUCUGUUUUUUUUUUGGUUAUAGAUGGACACAAUGCCUUUAUUUAUUUAUAUGUGGUGCUGAGGACUGAAGCCAGCACCUCACAUGUGCAAGGUAAGUUCUCUACCACUGAGCCACAACCCCAGCCCUGCUUAUUUAUUUAUUUAUUUAUUUGUAGUGCUGAGAAUCGAACCCAGUGCCUCACAUAUGCUAGGCAAGUGCUCUACCAAUGAGCUACAACCCCAGCCUCUUGAUUUUAUUUUCGUAGAUGGUGUGAGGUUCAAUUUUUUUCCUAUGGAUGAACAUUUAUUCCAACACCAUUUUUUAAAAAAUUCUAUCCUUCUUCCAUUGAAGUUUGUUACACCAUUUGUAAAGUCAGUUGAGUGUACUUGUGCUGGUCUGUUACUCAUUUCCCUUGAUCUGUAUCUGUCACUCCCCAAGGAUCCUACUGUCUCAAUUUACUGUAUCCAAUAUUUUAACUUGCAAUAAAGAUAUUCCCCCAGUUUAUUCUUCUCUUUAAAAGUUGUUUUAACUAUUCUAGUUGCUUUACCUUUUCCUAUAGGUUUUGUAAGCUUGCCUAUAUUAAUGAUAAAUCUUGGUAAUAUUUG
RNAcentral lists this long non-coding RNA (588 nucleotides) under Marmota monax (woodchuck). The record is from RNAcentral. Lineage: Eukaryota; Metazoa; Chordata; Mammalia; Rodentia; Sciuridae.